Molecule: ribosomal RNA, 484 nt
Filed under: uncultured bacterium
Lineage: Bacteria
Description: partial 16S ribosomal RNA
Rfam family: Bacterial small subunit ribosomal RNA
Source: RNAcentral
AUUGAACGCUGGCGGCAUGCUUUACACAUGCAAGUCGAACGGCAGCGCGGGCUUCGGCCUGGCGGCGAGUGGCGAACGGGUGAGUAAUGCAUCGGAACGUGCCCAGUAGUGGGGGAUAGCCCGGCGAAAGCCGGAUUAAUACCGCAUACGACCUGAGGGUGAAAGCGGGGGACCGAAAGGCCUCGCGCUAUUGGAGCGGCCGAUGUCGGAUUAGCUAGUUGGUGGGGUAAAGGCUUACCAAGGCGACGAUCCGUAGCUGGUCUGAGAGGACGACCAGCCACACUGGGACUGAGACACGGCCCAGACUCGUACGGGAGGCAGCAGUGGGGAAUUUUGGACAACGGGGGCAACCCUGAUCCAGCCAUGCCGCGUGCGGGAAGAAGGCCUUCGGGUUGUAAACCGCUUUUGUUCGGGAAGAAAUCCUCUGGGCUAAUACCCCGGGGGGAUGACGGUACCGGAAGAAUAAGCACCGGCUAACUACGUG